UCUCAGGCUGUGUCCCUCUACAGGGAAGCGCUUUCUGUUGUCUGAAAGAAAGGAAAGUGCAUCCUUUUAGAGUGUUGCUGUUUGAGA
RNAcentral lists this microRNA precursor (87 nucleotides) under Pan paniscus (pygmy chimpanzee). RNAcentral's name for it is "microRNA 519a-2 (ENSPPAG00000006485.1)". It matches the Rfam family "mir-515 microRNA precursor family". Lineage: Eukaryota; Metazoa; Chordata; Mammalia; Primates; Hominidae. The record is from Rfam by way of RNAcentral.